RNAcentral lists this ribosomal RNA (497 nucleotides) under uncultured bacterium. RNAcentral describes it as "partial 16S ribosomal RNA". It matches the Rfam family "Bacterial small subunit ribosomal RNA", at positions 28 to 507 of the family's 1533-position model. The record is from RNAcentral.
GAUGAACGCUGGCGGCGUGCCUAACACAUGCAAGUCGAGCGGAAGCACGGUAAGCGUGCUUUUCUGCUGUUAGCGACGGGCGGGUGAGUAACACGUGGAUACCCUACCUAUUUUUCUGGGAUGAUUACGGGAGGCCGUAUCCAAUACCGGAGCAUAUUUUGAACCGCAGGGUUCAAAAGAGCAUGGCGGUCUUGCUGACUCUAUUAGCUGGUUUCGCGCUGCAUUAGCUAGUUGGUAAGGUAACGGCUUACCAAGGCGACGAUGCGUAGCCGACCUGAGAGGAUGAUCGGCCACACUGGAACUGAGACACGGUCCAGACUCCUACGGGAGGCAGCAGUAGGGAAUAUUGGGCAAUGGGCGAAAGCCUGACCGAGCAAUGCCGCGUGAGUGAUGAAGGCCUUCGGAUCGUAAAGCCCUGUUAUUGGGGAAGAACAGAUGUAUGUGAAUAUGUGGCCGUCUUGACGGUACCUAAUCAAAAAGCACCGGCUAACUACGUG